AUACGUAGGGGGCGAGCGUUGUCCGGAAUUACUGGGUGUAAAGGGCGUGUAGGCGGGGAUGCAAGUUACCGGUAAAAACCCGAGGCUCAACCAUGGGCUUGCCGAUAAAACUGUAUUUCUUGAGUAUAGGAGAGGGAAAUGGAAUUUCCGGAGUAGCGGUGAAAUGCGUAGAUACCGGGAGGAACACCAGUGGCGAAGGCGGUUUCCUGGCCUAUUACUGACGCUGAGGCGCGAAAGCUAGGGUAGCGAACGGGAUUAGAUACCCCGGUAGUCCUAGCUGUAAACGAUGGUUACUAGGUGUGGGUGGUGGUCAAGCCAUCCGUGCCGGAGCUAACGCAAUAAGUAACCCACCUGGCGAGUACGGUCGCAAGGCUGAA
Molecule: ribosomal RNA, 377 nt
Filed under: uncultured bacterium
Lineage: Bacteria
Description: bacterial SSU rRNA
Rfam family: Bacterial small subunit ribosomal RNA
Source: RNAcentral